RNAcentral lists this ribosomal RNA (496 nucleotides) under uncultured bacterium. RNAcentral's name for it is "partial 16S ribosomal RNA". It matches the Rfam family "Bacterial small subunit ribosomal RNA", at positions 28 to 507 of the family's 1533-position model. The record is from RNAcentral.
GAUGAACGCUGGCGGCGUGCCUAAUACAUGCAAGUCGAGCGAACGGACGAGAAGCUUGCUUCUCUGAUGUUAGCGGCGGACGGUGAGUAACACGUGGAUAACCUACCUAUAAGACUGGGAUAACUUCGGGAAACCGGAGCUAAUACCGGAUGAUAUUUUGAACCGCAUGGUUCAAAAGUGAAAGACGGUCUUGCUGUCACUUAUAGAUGGAUCCGCGCUGCAUUAGCUAGUUGGUAAGGUAACGGCUUACCAAGGCAACGAUGCAUAGCCGACCUGAGAGGGUGAUCGGCCACACUGGAACUGAGACACGGUCCAGACUCCUACGGGAGGCAGCAGUAGGGAAUCUUCCGCAAUGGGCGAAAGCCUGACGGAGCAACGCCGCGUGAGUGAUGAAGGUCUUCGGAUCGUAAAACUCUGUUAUUAGGGAAGAACAUAUGUGUAAGUAACUGUGCACAUCUUGACGGUACCUAAUCAGAAAGCCACGGCUAACUACGUG